RNAcentral lists this ribosomal RNA (247 nucleotides) under uncultured bacterium. Its description in RNAcentral is "partial 16S ribosomal RNA". It matches the Rfam family "Bacterial small subunit ribosomal RNA", at positions 523 to 769 of the family's 1533-position model. The record is from RNAcentral.
AUACGGAGGGUGCGAGCGUUGUUCGGAAUUAUUGGGCGUAAAGCGCGUGUAGGCGGUUUGUUAAGUCUGAUGUGAAAGCCCUGGGCUCAACCCAGGAAGUGCAUUGGAAACUGUCAGACUUGAAUACGGGAGAGGGUAGUGGAAUUCCUAGUGUAGGAGUGAAAUCCGUAGAUAUCAGGAGGAACACCGGUGGCGAAGGCGGCUGCCUGGACCGAUAUUGACGCUGAGACGCGAAAGCGUGGGUAGC